GUGCACUAGUGCCGUAAUCUGCCAUCUUGCAACGUGAUCUUGCGAGAAGAAAUCAGAAGAAAAAAAUUAUCAGCUAAUGUAAUUGAAAGGAAAGGAAAAAUCAAUUGGUUUAAUAUUGGAGUUUAUUUUAUACGAUAUAAAUAUAUUAAAUAUAUAGAAAAAUGUUAGCUGCAUCAUUCAAAUUAUUACUCAAUGCGAAGAGAGUUAAUACAUUAACUCGUCUUAAAUCAACGUUAGUUAUAGCAGAACAUAAUAAUGAAGUAUUGUCAUCGAUAACAUGUAACACAUUAAGUGCAGCUAAACAAAUUGGUGGUGACAUCACCGUUUUAGUUGCUGGAACAAAGUGCGAUGGAGUGGCAAAGGCUAUAAGCAAUGCGAAUGGUGUCAACAAAGUUCUUGUUGCUAAUAGUGAGGCAUUUAAAGGAUUUACUCCAGAAACAUUGACGCCACUGAUAUUAGCGAUGCACAACCAAAAUAAGUAUUCCCACAUUUUAGCUGGUGCUAGUGCUUUUGGUAAAUCAUUAUUACCAAGAGUAGCAGCAAAAUUGGAUGUUUCGCCGGUAAGCGAUAUUAUUGGUAUUAAAGGUCCGGAUACUUUUAUUCGCACUAUUUACGCUGGCAAUGCUAUACAGACCAUUAAAGUGAAAGAUAAUGUCAAAGUUGUAUCUGUGAGAGGUACUUCGUUUGAACCAUUGCCCCUGGAAGGUGGUAAUGCAACUUGUGAACAGGUUCCACCAGGUGAUUAUAAAACGAAUCUGGUUGAAUUUAUUAAGCAAGAAAUUAGCAAGAGCGAUAGACCUGAAUUGACAUCAGCUAAAGUAGUAGUUUCGGGAGGACGAGGUUUAAAGUCGGGUGAUAAUUUUAAACUACUCUAUUCCUUGGCUGAUAAACUCAAUGCUGCCGUUGGUGCUUCAAGAGCUGCAGUUGAUGCUGGAUAUGUGCCCAAUGACUUACAGGUCGGACAGACAGGAAAGAUAGUUGCACCGGACCUGUACAUAGCAGUGGGCAUUUCUGGAGCAAUUCAGCAUCUUGCCGGUAUGAAAGAUUCAAAGACAAUUGUUGCUAUCAACAAAGAUCCAGAAGCCCCAAUUUUUCAAGUAGCGGAUUACGGAUUAGUUGAGGAUUUGUUUAAAGCUGUGCCAGAACUUACAGACAAAUUGAAAUGAAUAUUUUAUUAUAUAUUUUAUAAAAAGUGAUAAUUUUUAACCAGUAAGAAAUAGUAACAUACGAUCGGUGAAUGAACUUUAUUCCAUCAAGCAAUUAGACUAUUAUAGUCUUUUAUUUGAUAGAGUGGAAGAAAAGAAAAAGAAAGAAUAUAUAUAGACAUAUUUUUGAUAUUUAUAUUUAUCGAAUUAAAAUACAUAUAUGGGAAAUAUAUUUUGUGCAAUAUGUAAUAAUAAACGUGUUUUUUCUUAUUCUGCGAUAUUCUGCAGAGACCCGACGAUCACAGAAGAAAAUGGAACAGAGAAGAAUACGAACGAAUAGCCCUUCAACGGCUCCAGGAUGAAAUUGCUGAAGAGGAAUUAGGUAUUCCGAAGCAGCCAGCAGUAAAAAGAGAAUUAC
RNAcentral lists this unclassified non-coding RNA (1563 nucleotides) under Polistes fuscatus (common paper wasp). Its description in RNAcentral is "electron transfer flavoprotein subunit alpha, mitochondrial, transcript variant X2". Lineage: Eukaryota; Metazoa; Arthropoda; Insecta; Hymenoptera; Vespidae. The record is from RNAcentral.